RNAcentral lists this ribosomal RNA (644 nucleotides) under uncultured bacterium. Its description in RNAcentral is "bacterial SSU rRNA". The stretch from base 1 to 545 matches the Rfam family "Bacterial small subunit ribosomal RNA", at positions 338 to 873 of the family's 1533-position model. The record is from RNAcentral.
CCUACGGGAGGCAGCAGUGGGGAAUCUUGCACAAUGCACGAAAGUGUGAUGCAGCAACGCCGCGUGCGGGAAGACGGCCUUCGGGUUGUAAACCGCUUUCAGUUGGGACGAAGGUUCACGAGUUAAUAGCUUGUUGGACUGACGGUACCUUCACAAGAAGCCCCGGCUAACUACGUGCCAGCAGCCGCGGUAAUACGUAGGGGGCAAGCGUUGUCCGGAAUCAUUGGGCGUAAAGCGCGUGUAGGCGGCUCGAUAAGUCUGCUGUGAAAGUCCAGGGCUCAACCCUGGGAUGCCGGUGGAUACUGUCGAGCUCGAGUCCGGAAGAGGUGUGUGGAAUUCCUGGUGUGGCGGUGAAAUGCGCAGAUAUCAGGAGGAACACCGAUAGCGAAGGCAGCACACUGGUACGUGACUGACGCUGAGACGCGAAAGCGUGGGGAGCAAACAGGAUUAGAUACCCUGGUAGUCCACGCCGUAAACGAUGGGCACUAGGUGUGGGGAGGUGUCGACUCCUCCGUCGCCGACGACGACGACAUAAGUAGCCCGCCCGUCGGGUAGGUUACGGUUCGUCGAAGAACGUAAAACUUAACAAUUAGAAGUUAGACGGCGNGAGACGNGCCGACGGACGACGACGAGGGGAGGAGGAG